UUCACGGAGAGUUUGAUCCUGGCUCAGGACGAACGCUGGCGGCGUGCUUAACACAUGCAAGUCGAGCGGUGAACCGCCCUUCGGGGCGGGGAUCAGCGGCGAACGGGUGAGUAACACGUGGGCAACCUGCCCUCAGCUUUGGGAUAACCCCGGGAAACCGGGGCUAAUACCGGAUACGACCUCUGGCCGGCAUCGGCUGAGGUGGAAAGUUCCGGCGGCUGAGGAUGGGCCCGCGGCCUAUCAGCUAGUUGGUGGGGUAACGGCCUACCAAGGCGACGACGGGUAGCCGGCCUGAGAGGGCGACCGGCCACACUGGGACUGAGACACGGCCCAGACUCCUACGGGAGGCAGCAGUGGGGAAUCUUGCGCAAUGGGCGAAAGCCUGACGCAGCAACGCCGCGUGAGGGAUGAAGGCCUUCGGGUUGUAAACCUCUUUCAGCAGGGACGAAGCGAAAGUGACGGUACCUGCAGAAGAAGCACCGGCCAACUACGUGCCAGCAGCCGCGGUAAUACGUAGGGUGCAAGCGUUGUCCGGAAUUAUUGGGCGUAAAG
Molecule: ribosomal RNA, 552 nt
Filed under: Actinomycetota bacterium
Lineage: Bacteria; Bacillati; Actinomycetota
Description: bacterial SSU rRNA
Rfam family: Bacterial small subunit ribosomal RNA
Source: RNAcentral